This 1121-nucleotide ribosomal RNA is filed under the name Pedobacter sp. Its description in RNAcentral is "bacterial SSU rRNA". It matches the Rfam family "Bacterial small subunit ribosomal RNA", at positions 91 to 1217 of the family's 1533-position model. Lineage: Bacteria; Pseudomonadati; Bacteroidota; Sphingobacteriia; Sphingobacteriales; Sphingobacteriaceae. The record is from RNAcentral.
AAAAGUGGCGCACGGGUGCGUAACGCGUAUGCAACCUACCUUAAUCAGGGGGAUAGCCCGGAGAAAUCCGGAUUAACACCGCAUAAAAACACAGGAUAGCAUUAUCCAAUGUUCAAAUAUUUAUAGGAUUAAGAUGGGCAUGCGUGUCAUUAGCUAGUUGGCGGGGUAACGGCCCACCAAGGCGACGAUGACUAGGGGAUCUGAGAGGAUGACCCCCCACACUGGUACUGAGACACGGACCAGACUCCUACGGGAGGCAGCAGUAAGGAAUAUUGGUCAAUGGAGGCAACUCUGAACCAGCCAUGCCGCGUGCAGGAAGACUGCCCUAUGGGUUGUAAACUGCUUUUAUCCGGGAAUAAACCUCUUUACGUGUAGAGAGCUGAAUGUACCGGAAGAAUAAGGAUCGGCUAACUCCGUGCCAGCAGCCGCGGUAAUACGGAGGAUCCAAGCGUUAUCCGGAUUUAUUGGGUUUAAAGGGUGCGUAGGCGGCCUGUUAAGUCAGGGGUGAAAGACGGUAGCUCAACUAUCGCAGUGCCCUUGAUACUGAUGGGCUUGAAUGGACUAGAGGUAGGCGGAAUGAGACAAGUAGCGGUGAAAUGCAUAGAUAUGUCUCAGAACACCGAUUGCGAAGGCAGCUUACUAUGGUCUUAUUGACGCUGAGGCACGAAAGCGUGGGGAUCAAACAGGAUUAGAUACCCUGGUAGUCCACGCCCUAAACGAUGAACACUCGCUGUUGGCGAUACACAGUCAGCGGCUAAGCGAAAGCGUUAAGUGUUCCACCUGGGGAGUACGGUCGCAAGAUUGAAACUCAAAGGAAUUGACGGGGGCCCGCACAAGCGGAGGAGCAUGUGGUUUAAUUCGAUGAUACGCGAGGAACCUUACCCGGGCUUGAAAGUUAGUGAAUGAUUUAGAGAUAGAUCAGUCCGCAAGGACACGAAACUAGGUGCUGCAUGGCUGUCGUCAGCUCGUGCCGUGAGGUGUUGGGUUAAGUCCCGCAACGAGCGCAACCCCUAUGUUUAGUUGCCAGCACGUAUGGUGGGGACUCUAAACAGACUGCCUGUGCAAACAGAGAGAAGGAGGGGACGACGUCAAGUCAUCAUGGCCCUUACGUCCGGGGCUAC